AGCAGCCGCGGUAAUUCCAGCUCCAAUAGCGUAUAUUAAAGUUGUUGCAGUUAAAAAGCUCGUAGUUGAAUUUCGGGAUCAGUACGCCGGUCGUGCCUUCGGUAUGUACUGGUGUCACUGAUUCCUCCCUUCUGACGAACCGUUAUGCCAUUUAUUUGGUGUGGCGGGGAAUCAGGACUGUUACUUUGAAAAAAUUAGAGUGUUUAAAGCAGGCUCGCGCUUGAAUACAUUAGCAUGGAAUAAUGAAAUAGGACGUUUGAUUCUAUUUUGUUGGUUUCUAGGAUUGACGUAAUGAUUAAUAGGGAUAGUUGGGGGCAUUAGUAUUCAAUUGUCAGAGGUGAAAUUCUUGGAUUUAUUGAAGACUAACUACUGCGAAAGCAUUUGCCAAGGAUGUUUUCAUUAAUCAAGAACGAAAGUUAGGGGAUCGAAGACGAUCAGAUACCGUCGUAGUCUUAACCAUAAACUAUGCCGACUAGGGAUCGGAUGAUGUUAAUUUUUUAAUGACUCA
Molecule: ribosomal RNA, 508 nt
Filed under: uncultured Glomus
Lineage: Eukaryota; Fungi; Glomeromycota; Glomeromycetes; Glomerales; Glomeraceae
Description: SSU rRNA
Rfam family: Eukaryotic small subunit ribosomal RNA
Source: RNAcentral